RNAcentral lists this ribosomal RNA (301 nucleotides) under uncultured bacterium. RNAcentral describes it as "partial 16S ribosomal RNA". It matches the Rfam family "Bacterial small subunit ribosomal RNA", at positions 509 to 809 of the family's 1533-position model. The record is from RNAcentral.
CAGCAGCCACGGUAAUACGUAGGGUGCGAGCGUUAAUCGGAAUUACUGGGCGUAAAGCGUGCGCAGGCGGUUGUGUAAGACAGGUGUGAAAUCCCCGGGCUUAACCUGGGAACUGCGCUUGUGACUGCACAGCUAGAGUAUGGCAGAGGGGGGUGGAAUUCCACGUGUAGCAGUGAAAUGCGUAGAGAUGUGGAGGAACACCGAUGGCGAAGGCAGCCCCCUGGGCCAAUACUGACGCUCAUGCACGAAAGCGUGGGGAGCAAACAGGAUUAGAUACCCCCGUAGUCCCUGUCUUUUAUAC